CUGCCGUCGGUGUGGUGGGGGGCUUAAAACACGUUGCCACAGGCCAUCAUCAGCUCUGCUCUGAACCGGGUGAUGCCAUGCUCCUUCAGUGCUUUGAUCAAAAGCUGAAAAACAGUCAAAUAAUGUGAACAAUUGAAGUUAUGCAGUAUGGGUUAAUUGUUGUUCUUGAGCUUUCCAAAUGAAUAAGAACAACCUCUUAACAAUAUCAUCAAUUUUCAAAGCAAGCUAUAUAGUUUGAUCUACUCACCUCUGGGAGCAUGACGUCAAAAACGAAAUCAAGCAGAUGAAUCUCGCCUCUCUUUAUUUUUUUAGAAAUGUUUGUUGCCACCUCAAUGAACCGCAGGAGCUCGAACAUCUAUUGAAGAAAAACACAGAAAGUAAACACCUUUCAAAUGUAACACCCCUGAGAGUAAAAAUACUCAUGAUGGAUGGCAUUUUUACUUACGCGCUGCUCACUCCAACUUAGUGUCCUUAUCUUAAGAUGCUGCUUUAGUCGGAGUGAGGUGGCGGGAUUCCUCCAAAGGAACAUUCUGUUGGAGCGGAUCUUUCCAGACAGUAGAUCAUCGUGUAAUGUCUGAAACCAAAGAGCAAGAGGCAAAAAUGUAAUCAUCUGAAAAAGAAACGGUGGCUUUAACAACUGAUAGUGCAUUCAAAAGCAACCUUGAUCUGUGUCUUAGAAAAGACAGCAUGAAUUCCUCAACUGUCAACAGCAUCCUUGAUCC
Xyrichtys novacula (pearly razorfish) is the source of this 722-nucleotide non-coding RNA. The record is from the annotation of a GenBank genome assembly. NCBI's taxonomy places the organism in Eukaryota, Metazoa, Chordata, Actinopteri, Labriformes, Labridae.